GCGGCAAAAGCUCAAAUUUGAAAUCUGGCUCCUUUAGGGGUCCGAGUUGUAAUUUGCAGAGGAUGCUUCGGGAGCGGCCACGGCUUAAGUGCCUUGGAACAGGACGUCAUAGAGGGUGAGAAUCCCGUCUUGAGUCGUUGGUCCGCGCCCAUGUGAAGCUCCUUCGACGAGUCGAGUUGUUUGGGAAUGCAGCUCUAAGCGGGUGGUAAAUUUCAUCUAAAGCUAAAUAUUGGCCGGAGACCGAUAGCGCACAAGUAGAGUGAUCGAAAGGUUAAAAGCACCUUGAAAAGGGAGUUAAACAGCACGUGAAAUUGUUGAAAGGGAAGCGCUUGCGGCCAGACUCGGGUACAGGGUUCAGCGGGUGCGUGUCACCCGUGUACUCCCUGUUUCUCGGGCCAGCAUCAGUUCUGACGGCCGGUCAAAGGCCUCUGGAAUGUGUCGUCUUUCGGGACGUCUUAUAGCCAGGGGUGCAAUGCGGCCUGUUGGGACUGAGGAACGCG
This 500-nucleotide ribosomal RNA is filed under the name Arthroderma sp. SSR-2012a. RNAcentral describes it as "eukaryotic LSU rRNA". It matches the Rfam family "Eukaryotic large subunit ribosomal RNA", at positions 98 to 600 of the family's 3401-position model. The record is from RNAcentral. Lineage: Eukaryota; Fungi; Ascomycota; Eurotiomycetes; Onygenales; Arthrodermataceae.